This 429-nucleotide ribosomal RNA is filed under the name bacterium. Its description in RNAcentral is "partial 16S ribosomal RNA". It matches the Rfam family "Bacterial small subunit ribosomal RNA", at positions 355 to 776 of the family's 1533-position model. The record is from RNAcentral.
UAGGGAAUCUUCGGCAAUGGGGGCAACCCUGACCGAGCAACGCCGCGUGAGUGAAGAAGGUUUUCGGAUCGUAAAGCUUUGUUGUAAGAGAAGAACGUGUGCGAGAGUGGAAAGUUCACACAGUGACGGUAACUUACCAGAAAGGGACGGCUAACUACGUGCCAGCAGCCGCGGUAAUACGUAGGUCCCGAGCGUUGUCCGGAUUUAUUGGGCGUAAAGCGAGCGCAGGCGGUUUAAUAAGUCUGAAGUUAAAGGCAGUGGCUUAACCAUUGUUCGCUGUGGAAGCUGUUAAACUUGAGUGCAGAAGGGGAGAGUGGAAUUCCAUGUGUAGCGGUGGAAUGCGGAGAUAUAUGGAGGAACACCGGUGGCGAAAGCGGCUCUCUGGUCUGUAACUGACGCUGAGGCUCGAAAGCGUGGGGAGCAAACAGG